Budorcas taxicolor (takin) is the source of this 391-nucleotide long non-coding RNA. RefSeq lists it as uncharacterized. NCBI's taxonomy places the organism in Eukaryota, Metazoa, Chordata, Mammalia, Artiodactyla, Bovidae. The transcript is spliced from 4 exons. The record is from RefSeq and is a predicted model, not a curated record.
CGAAGAGUCAGCCAGCAGGAGGAAGCAGUGCCCAUCGGGGACGGGCCUGAAGAGGCCGGGAGAGAGCACAGACUACAAGAAAGUGAAGUUAGGAGACUCAGCAGCCGGCUCUGCAAGCAGAGGCGAGUUUCCGUUUUAGCUCCGCAGUGAUGUGACUGAAAUGAGAAGCGUGCCAUGAGGCCACAGAAAGGGGCCUGCAUAUGCGCUGUUGGGUGUGCGGGCUCAGUCCCUGGUCGGAGAGCUGAGAUCCCACGUGCCUUGGGGCCAAAAACCCAAAAGCUCUUUCCUGAUCUUGAGUCUGCUGGCUUUUGGACCUGAACCACACUAUGGCUCUCCUGGGUCUCCAGCUUGCUGACCACAGUGAUUCAGACUUGUCAGCCCUCGUAAUCCU